AUUGAACGCUGGCGGCAUGCUUUACACAUGCAAGUCGAACGGUAACAGGUUAAGCUGACGAGUGGCGAACGGGGGAGUAAUGCAUCGGAACGUGCCCGGUCGUGGGGGAUAACGCAGCGAAAGCUGCGCUAAUACCGCAUACGAUCUGAGGAUGAAAGCGGGGGACCGUAAGGCCUCGCGCGAUCGGAGCGGCCGAUGUCAGAUUAGGUAGUUGGUGAGGUAAAGGCUCACCAAGCCAACGACCUGUAGCUGGUCUGAGAGGACGACCAGCCACACUGGGACUGAGACACGGCCAAGACUCCUACGGGAGGCAGCAGUGGGGAAUUUUGGACAAUGGGCGAAAGCCUGAUCCAGCAAUGCCGCGUGCAGGAAGAAGGCCUUCGGGUUGUAAACUGCUUUUGUACGGAGCGAAAAGGCUCUCUCUAAUACAGGGGGCUCAUGACGGUACCGUAAGAAUAAGCACCGGCUAACUACGUGCCAGCCGCCGCAGUAA
Molecule: ribosomal RNA, 493 nt
Filed under: uncultured bacterium
Lineage: Bacteria
Description: partial 16S ribosomal RNA
Rfam family: Bacterial small subunit ribosomal RNA
Source: RNAcentral